Molecule: non-coding RNA, 29 nt
Filed under: Cricetulus griseus (Chinese hamster)
Lineage: Eukaryota; Metazoa; Chordata; Mammalia; Rodentia; Cricetidae
Source: RNAcentral
AUUCAUGCAGCAGAAGAGAAGGACUGGAA